This 253-nucleotide ribosomal RNA is filed under the name uncultured bacterium. RNAcentral's name for it is "partial 16S ribosomal RNA". It matches the Rfam family "Bacterial small subunit ribosomal RNA", at positions 524 to 776 of the family's 1533-position model. The record is from RNAcentral.
UACGUAGGGGGCAAGCGUUGUCCGGAUUCAUUGGGCGUAAAGGGUGUGUAGGUGGCGCCGUAAGUCGGGUGUGAAAUUUCGGAGCUUAACUCCGAAACUGCAUUCGAUACUGCGGUGCUUGAGGACUGGAGAGGAGACUGGAAUUCAUGGUGUAGCAGUGAAAUGCGUAGAGAUCAUGAGGAAGACCAGUGGCGAAGGCGGGUCUCUGGACAGUUCCUGACACUGAGACACGAAGGCCAGGGGAGCAAACGGG